CUCAUCGGUAUACUGGCAUUGAUGAUUUUUGCGAUCGAUGUUACUGAAGCUCAAUGCGUGAUUACGAUCAAUGGAACGGAUUUCACGCCCAGUUUGACUCCUGUUUAUAUUUCCUAUUAUGGCAAUGAAUUCCCAAUGACAGAUCUCGUUAAUAUGGAUGUCAGUACUUGCAAAUUUCAGAUAUCUAUGUAUAUCUAUACCCCAGAAACACAGAUAA
This is a long non-coding RNA of Gordionus sp. m RMFG-2023, 217 nucleotides long. RefSeq lists it as uncharacterized. The record is from RefSeq and is a predicted model, not a curated record. The transcript is spliced from 3 exons. NCBI's taxonomy places the organism in Eukaryota, Metazoa, Nematomorpha, Gordioida, Chordodea, Parachordodidae.